Molecule: long non-coding RNA, 2055 nt
Filed under: Homo sapiens (human)
Lineage: Eukaryota; Metazoa; Chordata; Mammalia; Primates; Hominidae
Description: GOT1 divergent transcript, transcript variant 3 (GOT1-DT)
Source: RNAcentral
GAGCGAGCGGCGGGUGUCCCUGAGAGGCCACCUUUCGACCUUCGAGGGCCAGGAGGAUACGGGGAGGUGGCCGGAGGGAGUUCCCGAACACAGGUCUUCCUGUUCCCGCCGAGCAGGUGUUGGCGGUGCCAGGCCCGGCCUGGCGGGCCCGGGCUGGCAGCCAAAUACCCAGCGUCUGUGCUCGGGACGGGAGUGUUCGUCCAGGACGUGCAGCUCCGGAGCCUGCGCGGGCGACCUUGACCACCUUUGUCGGCUGUUUCCCCCUGAGGGAAGUAUACCUGUCCUGCCAGCCUUGGUCUCUGGCAGGGAAGGUCCUUCCAACAGAGAGGGAAUUGCUUAGAAUUGACUCAACACUGCCUCCUUGCUGAAUGGAUAAUUCAAGCAAACAACUCAAGAGCUGGAUGCUGCCCAGACAGAAGUCCUCCUAGCAUCUUUCUUCUGCCUUCCCCUGCUCCUGUCCCUGAAACCUUUUCUUCAAAAGAAGUGGAAAAGAGGAACUGGGAACCCAUAUAGCAACAGCAUCACCUGGAAUGAAUUCCUUUAGAACAUACUGUCUUGGAAAUCUGAAGCCUGCAGGGCUGGACAGGCAAGAAGAGCAGUGAGCACUGCAUGAACCUCACCCUUGAACUUCUAUAUGGUCUCCAAAGACAUGAUAAAUACAGAGAUUGCUCUCUCCUCUCAACUGCAACAGUAAUGAUUCCUUUGCAUUUUAAUUAAGUCUUUUACACAUGAAUAAGUCUUUAUCCUCAAAUGGACUAAAGACUCCUCGAGGACAAGAACUAUCCUUCAGUCCCAUACAUUGGUUACCUGGCAAAGGACCCUAAAUGCAGAUUAUGAAGUAGCUAUGGAAUUUGAAUGGGUUGAUUCUUCAGCUCCCAGAAAAAAACUUUGAUUGGUUUAACUGGCCACAGUAAUUGAUGUGGGAAUGAGGCCCUGACAUAAUUUCAACUUAGAAGACAUGUUCACUGGAAGUGAACUAGGAAGCAUGAAGUCUCAGACAUUCGACACUGAAAGAAUAAGCAGUCUUAGGAUGAAGGCAGUGCUAUGGACACCAGAACUCCAUGGUUCAGGCUGUUCAGCAUCAACUGUUCCUGACAGCCACCCUAACGUGCCUCCAGUUUCCUGGGCCAACAGAUGCCUGUCAUUGUUGAAGUUUCUUUGAGUUGGGUCUUCCGUUACUUACAAUUUAAAUCACCCUCACUGAUUACUAUGUACUUAAUUGUUCUCCUCCACUCUCUGCCAAUCCAUAUGCUGAAGCCUUAACCCCCAACGUGAUAGUAUUUGGAGACUGGAACUUUGGGAGAUAAUUAGAUUUAGAUGUGGUCAUGAGGAUGGGACCUUCAAGAUGAGAAUAGUAUCCUUAUAAAAAGUGGUACUAGAAAGCCUCUCUUUCUCUCUCUCUGCCACGUAAGAACACAGCAAGAAGGCAGCCAUCUGCAAGCCAGGAAGAGAGCCCUUACCAGAACUUGACCAUGCUGACACCCUGAUCUCAGAUGUGCAGCCUCCAGAACUGCAAAAAAGACACAUUUUCAUUGUUUAAGCUACCUAGUUUAUGGUAUUUUGUUACAGCAGCCCAAUCUGACUAAUACGCUGAUACAGGCAUAUUAGGGUACAUGCCACCAGCAGAGUGGUUCAACUGCAGGUCCACACUUACCCAGUGAAGGUGACUCAGCCUAGAGUGUGACUCAGUCUCUUCCCAACCCUGUCCGCAUCACCCCUGGAAGAGUCAGCUCCUCCCACAACUGCAGUCCUGACAGCAGCAUCAUGCCUCUGAAAUGAUCUUGCAAACAAGCUGUCAUUGGAGUGCUGAGAGAGUGGCAAUAUCAACUAAAAACAUGAAGAAGAAGAGCAACAAAGAGGAGGAAGAGGAGGAGAAGAGGGAAAGAAGUGAGGCGCUGUGGUGAAGAAUAGUACUUCUCAUCUCCACCAGAACAGCAGAGAACAAUGAAAGCACACCAUCAGGACGUCUCAGGGUACAGCCAGAAAAGCCAUUACCAUUUGUGCCAAUAUCUUUGAAAUCUUGUAUUUUGUCAUAAAAAGUUAUGCAGUUUCUGU